Molecule: RNA transcript, 954 nt
Organism: Mus pahari (shrew mouse)
Lineage: Eukaryota; Metazoa; Chordata; Mammalia; Rodentia; Muridae
Gene name: 40S ribosomal protein S2 pseudogene
Exons: 2
Source: RefSeq, a predicted model, not a curated record
AUGGCCCCUCUACUUCCGGGGCACGACCUCGCUCGCGGGGCCGACGGCGACGGGACACGGAGCGCGGAGGCGGGCGGAGGCGGAAGCACUUCCGGAAAACACCAAAAGGCGGAUGGCACCAGUGCAGCAGGAAGGCCCGGAGGACCUGGGGGACCCAGGAUUAGGAGGCUGUGGUGGCUUCUGCGGAGGAUUUGGCAGCAGUCUUAGGUGUCGAGGCUGUGGGGCUCAUGAAGGUAAAGCUGAAGACAGGGAGUGGAUUCCUGUCACCAAGCUGGGCCACCUGGUUAAGGACAUGAGGAUCAAGUCCUUGGAGGAGAUCUACCUGUUCUCCUUGCCCUUUAAGGAGUCUGAGAUCAUUGACUUUUUCCUGGGUGCAUCUCUAAGGAUGAGGUUCUGACAACCAUGCCAGUGCAGAGGCAGACUCAGGCUGGCCAGUGGACCAGGUUCAAGGUAAUUGUCGUUAUUGGGGACUACAAUGGUCACGUUCGUCUUGGUGUUAAGUGCUCCAAGGAGGUUGCCACUGCCAUCCGAGGAACCCUCAUCUUGGCCAAGCUUUCCAUCGUCCCUGUGCAAAGAGGCUGCUGGGAGAAGAUUGGCAAGCCCCACACUGUUCCAUGCAAGGUGACAGGCCGCUGCAGCUCUGUGCUGGUGUGUCUCAUCCCGGCCCCCAGAGGCACUGGCACAGUCUCUGUUCCUGUGCCCAAGAAGCUCCUGAUGAUGGCCGGUAUAGAUGACUGCUACACUUCAGCCAGAGGCUGCACUGCUACCCUGGGCGACUUUGCCAAGGCCACCUUUGAUGCCAUCUCCAAGACCUACAGCUACCUGACCCCCGACCUCUGGAAAGAGACUGUCUUCACCAAGUCUCCUUAUCAGGAAUUCACUGAUCAUCUCGUGAAAACCCACACCAGAGUCUCUGUUCAGAGGACCCAGGCUCCAGCUGUGGCUACCACAUAA